Anoplopoma fimbria (sablefish) is the source of this 591-nucleotide long non-coding RNA. RefSeq lists it as uncharacterized. The transcript is spliced from 3 exons. The record is from RefSeq and is a predicted model, not a curated record. Lineage: Eukaryota; Metazoa; Chordata; Actinopteri; Perciformes; Anoplopomatidae.
UCCUCCUGCUGCUCCUCCUGCUGCUCCUCCUGCUCCUCCUGCUCCUCCUGCUCCUCCAGGCCGUUCUUCAUCCUCCUCUCCUCCGUGAAUUGAUUAAAGCAGUGAGACGCUGUGAAGGUCGAGGGUUCGAUUCCCUCAGAGAAGAUGUUUCAGAUCCUCCUGUUGAUCCUAAAAAACUCCAGUGGCGCUGCAGGACUGUGAGUUCAUUCAGAGAGCGUCCGACUGGAACUGUGUCUGACACAGAAUACUACUAGAGGUUAAAGAGUUAAAAACAUGACAUGAAGUUAUUUAUUUCACACUCAUUCUUUGUACUUUUUACUUUAUAAUGCAAACUAUACUGCAACGUUUUAUUUCUAUUUUCAAAAGUUAUUUCUCUCUCUGGUAUUUUGUCUCUUAACCUUUGCACUGUGAAUAUUGUUACUCACAAAAUCAAAUAAGACAAAUUCCUUUCAUGUGUGAACGUUUCUUGUUCUGAGCAGGUUUUCUUAAAUCAUUUAUGACCUCAUGACUUCUCCUCAAAACAAACUUCACACGAAUGAUCGACAUAAACCUUUUUCAUCUCGUGUCUUGCCGCUGAUUUUUCUUUUGCCA